AUACGGAGGGUGCAAGCGUUAUCCGGAUUUAUUGGGUUUAAAGGGUGCGUAGGCGGUUUGAUAAGUCAGCGGUGAAAUAUUUCAGCUUAACUGGAAGGGUGCCGUUGAUACUGUCGAGCUUGAAUUUAGUUGCUGUGGGUGGAAUGUGUGGUGUAGCGGUGAAAUGCAUAGAUAUCACACAGAAUAUCGAUUGCGAAGGCAGCUCACAAAGCUAAUAUUGACGCUGAUGCACGAAAGUGUGGGGAUCAAACAGGAUUAGGUACCCUGGUAGUCCACACUGUAAACGAUGAUAACUCGCUGUCGGCGAUACAUAGUCGGUGGCCAAGCGAAAGCGAUAAGUUAUCCACCUGGGGAGUACGACCGCAAGGUUGAAACUCAAAGGAAUUGACGGGG
RNAcentral lists this ribosomal RNA (393 nucleotides) under uncultured bacterium. RNAcentral describes it as "partial 16S ribosomal RNA". It matches the Rfam family "Bacterial small subunit ribosomal RNA", at positions 523 to 918 of the family's 1533-position model. The record is from RNAcentral.